Molecule: long non-coding RNA, 3268 nt
Filed under: Mus musculus (house mouse)
Lineage: Eukaryota; Metazoa; Chordata; Mammalia; Rodentia; Muridae
Description: long non-coding RNA chr7:129693117-129696385
Source: RNAcentral
UAGCAGGCUCCUGGGCGAUGCAGAUGCUGGCAUUCUGGGCACUGCCCUUUGGAAAGCUAUGAUGACCACUGAAGCAGAACAGACCAAAGCAAAGAGGUGGGAAAGUCGCGAGAAGAUACAGGACUGGCUGGGAUACAUCAGGAAGAGGAGCUGCGAUGGAUGGGACUUCAAAUGGAAGUUGGUGAUUAUAUCCGUCCCAGCACCUCCCGCCUUGCAAGAGAGGCCUUAUAAAUCCUGGUCACAAGGAAGGGAAACAGAAGCUCAAGGAAGAGAGAGCCAUGGCUUCCUAGGUGUCAGUGAAGACCCAGACGCUGAAACUAUAACCGCCUAGUUCAGAAACCUAUACUUUGCUUGACCACAAUCCAAGCAGGGGGUGGGGAUGGGAUGUUUUUCUGCAGGGCUGGACAUAGAGUCAGUGUUCAGAGCACAUUGUUGGAGAGAGGAAGGAUGGGUGAGUGAAUAAGUGAAGAAAUGAAUGAGAGAACAGAACCACUUUGAGAGCCUGGAAACCGGGACCUCACGCUCUGUGACCUCACGCUCCAACUUCCCCUCCUCCCCGAGUCUGAUCUGAAAGGUGACCCCCGUUCCUCUCGCCCAGGUGAUAAAGCCAGGUGCAGGUGCACCUGUUACCCAAACCUGAUAUCCAAAUAGGAAGUAAGGCUGAGAUAAGGCUGUGGAGGGCAGUGCCUGGAAUCACGGGGUUGGGCUGGCCAUUGGCUUGAUGCCACAAGUGUCCACCGAGCCUCUCCUAAAGGUUGAGCUCUAUGCCAGGUUCCUUCAGGGUGAGGCAGGAAGCCACGCAGCUCCUGACCUCCAACAGCUUAUGGAAAAAAAAAAUACUUACAAACAGGAUGUGGGUCGGGCAAAGGGAGAAGUGUGAAGCAGGUGGCCAUUGCUCCCUGACAGCUCCAACAGGGAGUUGGGACUGAGAGAUGAGAAGAAAUGAGGCAGUAGUUAGUGAUGCCAGGGGAGGGGCCUGACCCUUGCACUGCCAUUGCUGAGGAAUAAGAGGUCCUUAAAGUUUAGCUCCUCAGACCCAGACCCCUCCCCAGUCCUCCUACCUUCUCUCAGGGUCUCCCUUACAAGAUCAGGCUAAGCUUCCUCUCUGUUCCUUCUGGCUUUACCACAGGUUGGCAUCCUGGAGCAAGGGCCUAGUCUCUGUAUUUUCCACACAGGCCUCUUUUUCUCUACCUUCCUCCUGCCCCUCACUACCUGAGCUAGGUCCAAGAAGCCUCCUUGUGGCCUGGCAUUUGAGUGCUGAACUUAAGAGGAUUUUGUAAGCUGGUUAAACAAAGCCAGAUUAAAAAUCAAGUUACAAGUGCCAUGUUCUAUUAAAGUCAAAGAUAACAGGUACUCAAACCCUGCAACUUCCUAGUUCUUUAACAUUUCAUGCUAUGUAUGUUAUAGAGGAUAUGCACAUAUGUUGUGCCCUGUAAUUGGAAAAUAACAUUUUAUGGUAUUGUGCAUCUCUGCGGUUCUCUGCUCAGCCAUAUCACCCAAGUAGAUAGAUGCCUUAGUUCAUUUUGUGUUAUAACAAAAUCCCUGAGGCUAUUUUAUUUCUAAAAAAAAAAAGAGGUCUAUUUAGCUUACAAUUAAUUUUGGAAUAGUGCUAACAUCUGCUCAGCUCUGGUGAGGGCAUUCUGCCUCUGUCACAUUGUGGAGGGCAGCAUUAUGUAUGGAUAUGCAUGAAAUAGAGAGAUCACAUGGCCACUUAGGGAGCAAGAGAGAUUCAGGGACCAGGUUUACUCUUUGUGUAACAACCUACGCUCAUGGGAUCUAGACCAGCGACAUUUUCAUAUGAUCUAGAACGAACUCAAGAGAGAAUAGGUUUAUUUUAACUACAGUUUGAGAGGUACGGUUGUGUACAUGAUAGAAAAAGCACGUCAGGUAGUUCAUCCAUGACAUGACUUGGCACCAACUAGGAAGCAACAAGUUCUUGGGCCAUAACUGGAUAUAAAUAUGAUCUUCAAAGUCCCAUCCCUCGUGGCCAAGUUCACCAAGCUAGGCCUUAGGUCCCCAAACAGUGACAGCAGCUGAUGAUCAAGUAUUUAAACACAUGAGCUUGAUGUGCGUGUGGCAGGGCUGGAGGGGUGGAUUUACAGAUCUGUGAUAGUUUAUCUUUACCAAGUUAACACAACACAGAAUCACUUAAUUAAGUUAAUUGAUAUGGGAUGAUUCAGUCCACUGUGGGCGUCAUCAUCCCCUAGGCAGAGGGUUUUGAAUGUAUAGGAACGGAGAAAUCGAGCUGGGCACAGGUAAGCAAGCAGGAUGGAUACAAUCAUUUCUCUCUGUUCUUGGCUUUUGCUGUGGCUAUGAUACACGUGGCUAUUAAAUGUUCCUGCUUGAUAUUCCCACAGCGGUUCACUAUACCUAUAACUUGUAACUGUAAUUGUAAUCUAAAACAAGACUUUUCUUCCCCUAAGUUGCUUUUUGUCAGGGCAUAUUAUCACAGCAUAAAUGAAACCUGACAAACAUACAAAACAUAACACAGGGGUCUUAAGAAAGCUACGUUCCUCCCUUCUACUGUUAAUGCCUUCAAUAAUAACCUUUCACAAGGCUUUACCUCCUAAAGGUUUUGCAUCCUUAAUCCCAUCAUGCUAGGGACUACACUGCUACUGUGAAGAACUAUGUAAAACACCCUCAAAUAGUAACAUAACUAUGAUAUUGGUCUUAUAGAUAUAUUUGCAUUAAGGAAUCAGGGUAAAUGCAUGCUUUGUUUGGCUUACUGUUUCAGUAAAGUGAUGAAGAGAAUCUAAUAAGACACCUGACCUUUAGGGUAACACGUAUCGUUGUAUGGUGGACUGAUCAGAGAACUGAAAUUAUGUAUCAGUGUGAGAAAAGGUUAAGAGCGCUUUUUCUAGACAAACGAGUGUGUUCCCAGUACACGGCCUCCCAUUCCACUCUGUCUGUGAAGAUGGAGCCAAGCAAUCUUCCUAGGCUGCCCAUUUGUUGAGAUUAAACACAUUCAUUCCUAAUGUGACUCCCUCUUUCUAGCAGAAGAGCAGUCAAGCAUUUAGUGGCUGCCUGCUUUUGUUGCACCAUGCAGUCUCUCUGAUGGUGAAUUUUGAAAGAAACAGGAAGUACUAUAUUAUGGAGGUAUAUGAAAUUUAAAAUUGGAGUUAUUUUUUGGUAAUUGUGUGUUAUGAUCUUUUCUAUUGCUCCAAUCAUAAUAAACUUAGGACCACAUUUGUGAAUUUUAUUUUAUUUUUUAUUGUUUUAUUGACUCUGUGAUUUUGACAUUUAUACCUCAAUGCCACUCAUCUCCCCU